Molecule: non-coding RNA, 638 nt
Organism: Etheostoma spectabile (orangethroat darter)
Lineage: Eukaryota; Metazoa; Chordata; Actinopteri; Perciformes; Percidae
Source: the annotation of a RefSeq genome assembly
AAAUUGGGGAUCGGGUUUUGAAAUUUUUAUUUAGUAUCACCUAACGUUACACGAUAAUCAAAAUGAUCAUUAUAUUCCUUUGUAUUGCUUUUACCUCGGUUUCAGGUUCCUCUCUCAGUGACAAUGUCCACCAGACUCCAGCUGACACGUUCAAGAAACCCGAUGAACCUGCAACAAUUACAUGUUCACACAGUAUUCUGAACUAUGAUCGAAUCCUCUGGUACAAGCAGUCAAAGAAUAAAAAACUGCAGUUCCUGGGUUACAUGUAUAAAGAUAAUGGGAACCCAGAGGCUGGACUGGGUGUAAAAAUGGAUGGGAGUGCAGAUAAAGACCAGACCUGCACAUUAACAAUAGAAAAACUCAGCCUGAGCAGCAGUGCAGUGUACUACUGUGCUGCUAGUUUACACAGUGCUGCAUAUCACUGCUCCUCAGUACAAAAACCUCCUCAACACACAUUCUCUUAUCUCUGUAUUGGAGCUCCUUACACCCGUCUGUCUCCCUCUUAUAAGGUGGCAGUAUAUCUGGGUGUAGGGAUAGUCAAUAGGGCUGGGACAAUAUGCCUUUGACCCAACUCGAUUCUUUCACGAUAUACAAGUGCCAAUUCAAUUUGCAUUGCAAAUUUCAUUUAUUGCGAUUGU